Non-coding RNA from Triticum aestivum (bread wheat), 135 nucleotides. NCBI's taxonomy places the organism in Eukaryota, Viridiplantae, Streptophyta, Magnoliopsida, Poales, Poaceae. The record is from Rfam.
UUGAUACUCCCUCCGUCCGGAAAUACUUGUCAUCAAAAUGAAUAAAUGGAGAUGUAUCUAGACGUAUUUCAGUUCUAGAUACAUCAUUUUUUAUCCAUUUUAAUGACAAGUAUUUUUGGACGGACGGAGUAGUUG